This 209-nucleotide unclassified non-coding RNA is filed under the name Inocybe fuscidula. Its description in RNAcentral is "partial internal transcribed spacer 2". The record is from RNAcentral. Lineage: Eukaryota; Fungi; Basidiomycota; Agaricomycetes; Agaricales; Inocybaceae. RNAcentral also lists the same sequence under 1 other name.
AACUUCUCAACCACGUUGGAUAUUAAUCUUUUCAAUGUUGGCUUGGAUGUGGGGGUUGUUUGCAGGCUUUUUGUAACAAAAAGGUCGGCUCCCCUGAAAUAUAUUAGUGGUAUCUGAGGCUAUUGCUAUUAGGUGUGAUAAUUAUCUAUGCCUUUUGGGUAUGCCGCAUGAACAGAUUACACUGCUUCUAACGAAAACUAUUUUGAUGA